GGAGGGAUGGCCGAGUGGUUUAAGGCGGCGGUCUUGAAAACCGUUGACCCGAAAGGGUCCGGGAGUUCGAAUCUCUCUCCCUCCGCCA
RNAcentral lists this transfer RNA (88 nucleotides) under Desulfonatronovibrio sp. RNAcentral's name for it is "tRNA-Ser". It matches the Rfam family "tRNA". Rfam says of the family: Transfer RNA (tRNA) molecules are approximately 80 nucleotides in length. Lineage: Bacteria; Pseudomonadati; Thermodesulfobacteriota; Desulfovibrionia; Desulfovibrionales; Desulfonatronovibrionaceae. The record is from RNAcentral. RNAcentral also lists the same sequence under 1 other name.